GAUGAAGAACGUAGUGAAAUGCGAUACGUAAUGUGAAUUGCAGAAUUCAGUGAAUCAUCGAAUCUUUGAACGCACAUUGCGCCCCUUGGUAUCCCGAGGGGCAUGCCUGUUCGAGCGUCAUUUCACCACUCAAGCCUGGCUUGGUGUUGGGCGACGUCCCCUUUGGGGACGCGCCUCGAAACGCUCGGCGGCGUGGCACCGGCUUUAAGCGUAGCAGAAUCUUUCGCUUUGGAAGUCGGGGCCCCGUCUGCCGGAAGACCUACUCGCAAGGUUGACCUCGGAUCAGGCAGGGAUACCCGCUGAACUUAAGCAUAUCAAUAAGCGGAGGA
Molecule: unclassified non-coding RNA, 329 nt
Filed under: soil metagenome
Description: partial contains 5.8S ribosomal RNA, internal transcribed spacer 2, and large subunit ribosomal RNA
Rfam family: 5.8S ribosomal RNA (bases 1-120)
Source: RNAcentral